Molecule: ribosomal RNA, 924 nt
Filed under: uncultured bacterium
Lineage: Bacteria
Description: bacterial SSU rRNA
Rfam family: Bacterial small subunit ribosomal RNA
Source: RNAcentral
AGAGUUUGAUCAUGGCUCAGGAUGAACGCUGGCGGCGUGCUUAACACAUGCAAGUCGAACGAUGAAGCUGGAGCUUGCUCCGGUGGAUUAGUGGCGAACGGGUGAGUAACACGUGAGCAAUCUGCCCUUGACUCUGGGAUAACUGCGGGAAACUGUAGCUAAUACCGGAUACGACGCCUUGGGGCAUCCCACGGGCGUGGAAAGAAUUUCGGUCAAGGAUGAGCUCGCGGCCUAUCAGCUAGUUGGUGAGGUAAUGGCUCACCAAGGCGACGACGGGUAGCCGGCCUGAGAGGGUGACCGGCCACACUGGGACUGAGACACGGCCCAGACUCCUACGGGAGGCAGCAGUGGGGAACAUUGCGCAAUGGGCGAAAGCCUGACGCAGCAACGCCGCGUGAGGGAUGAAGGCCUUCGGGUUGUAAACCUCUUUUAGCAGGGAAGAAGCGAAAGUGACGGUACCUGCAGAAAAAGCACCGGCUAACUACGUGCCAGCAGCCGCGGUAAUACGUAGGGUGCAAGCGUUAUCCGGAAUUAUUGGGCGUAAAGAGCUCGUAGGCGGUUUGUCGCGUCUGCUGUGAAAAUCUGAGGCUCAACCUCGGACUUGCAGUGGGUACGGGCAGACUAGAGUGCGGUAGGGGAGAAGGGAAUUCCUGGUGUAGCGGUGGAAUGCGCAGAUAUCAGGAGGAACACCAAUGGCGAAGGCACUUCUCUGGGCCGUAACUGACGCUGAGGAGCGAAAGCGUGGGGAGCGAACAGGAUUAGAUACCCUGGUAGUCCACGCCGUAAACGUUGGGCGCUAGAUGUGGGUCACAUUCCACGUGAUCCGUGUCGCAGCUAACGCAUUAAGCGCCCCGCCUGGGGAGUACGGCCGCAAGGCUAAAACUCAAAGGGAUUGACGGGGGCCCGCACAAGCGGCGGAGCAUG